This 894-nucleotide ribosomal RNA is filed under the name uncultured Clostridia bacterium. Its description in RNAcentral is "bacterial SSU rRNA". It matches the Rfam family "Bacterial small subunit ribosomal RNA", at positions 8 to 921 of the family's 1533-position model. Lineage: Bacteria; Bacillati; Bacillota; Clostridia. The record is from RNAcentral.
AGAGUUUGAUCCUGGCUCAGGACGAACGCUGGCGGCGCGCCUAACACAUGCAAGUCGAAGGAGAGCGUGUUUUGAAUUCUUCGGAAGGAAAGAUACGUUUCUUAGUGGCGGACGGGUGGUAACACGUGAGCAACCUGCCUUGCAGAGAGGGAUAACGAUUGGAAACGAUCGCUAAUACACAUAACAUACAGAUAUCGCAUGAUGACUGUAUCAAAGAUUUAUCGCUGCAAGAUGGGUCGCGUCUGAUUAGAUAGUUGGUGGGGUAACGGCUCACCAAGUCGACGAUCAGUAGCCGACUGAGAGGUUGAACGGCCACAUUGGGACUGAGACACGGCCCAGACUCCUACGGGAGGCGCAGUGGGGGAUAUUGCACAAUGGGGGAAACCCUGAUGCAGCGACGCCGCGUGAGGGAAAAGGUUUUCGGAUUGUAAACCUCUGUCUUUGGGGACGAUAAUGACGGUACCCAAGGAGGAGCUCCGGCUAACUACGUGCCAGCAGCCGCGGUAAUACGUAGGGAGCAAGCGUUGUCCGAAUUACUGGGUGUAAAGGGAGCGUAGGCGGGUUUGUAAGUUGAAUGUGAAAUCUAUGGGUCAACCCAUAAACUGCGUUCAAAACUGCAGAUCUUGAGUGGAGUAGAGGCAGGCGGAAUCCUAGUGUAGCGGUGAAAUGCGUAGAUAUUAGGAGGAACACCAGUGGCGAAGCGGCCUGUGGGCUCUAACUGACGCUGAGGCUCGAAAGCGUGGGUAGCAAACAGGAUUAGAUACCCUGUAGUCCACGCCGUAAACGAUGAUUACUAGGUGUGGGGAUGUAAGUUUCCGUGCCGGAGUAACACAAUAAGUAAUCCACCUGGGGAGUACGACCGCAAGGUUGAAACUCAAAGGAAUUACGGGGGCC